This 392-nucleotide ribosomal RNA is filed under the name uncultured Rhodocyclaceae bacterium. RNAcentral describes it as "bacterial SSU rRNA". It matches the Rfam family "Bacterial small subunit ribosomal RNA", at positions 986 to 1382 of the family's 1533-position model. The record is from RNAcentral. Lineage: Bacteria; Pseudomonadati; Pseudomonadota; Betaproteobacteria; Rhodocyclales; Rhodocyclaceae.
AUGUCUGGAACUUGGCAGAGAUGCCUUGUGCUUCGGAGCCAGAACACAGGUGCUGCAUGGCUGUCGUCAGCUCGUGUCGUGAGAUGUUGGGUUAAGUCCCGCAACGAGCGCAACCCUUACCAUUAGUUGCCAUCAUUUAGUUGGGCACUCUAAUGGGACUGCCGGUGACAAACCGGAGGAAGGUGGGGAUGACGUCAAGUCCUCAUGGCCCUUAUGGGUAGGGCUUCACACGUCAUACAAUGGUCGGUACAGAGGGUUGCCAAGCCGCGAGGUGGAGCUAAUCUCAGAAAGCCGAUCGUAGUCCGGAUCGCAGUCUGCAACUCGACUGCGUGAAGUCGGAAUCGCUAGUAAUCGUGGAUCAGAAUGUCACGGUGAAUACGUUCCCGGGUCUU